GACGAACGCUGGCGGCGUGCUUAACACAUGCAAGUCGAACGGUAAGGCCCUUCGGGGUACACGAGUGGCGAACGGGUGAGUAACACGUGGGUGAUCUGCCCUGCACUUCGGGAUAAGCCUGGGAAACUGGGUCUAAUACCGGAUAGGACCAUUGCCUGCAUGGGUGGUGGUGGAAAGCUUUUGCGGUGUGGGAUGGGCCCGCGGCCUAUCAGCUUGUUGGUGGGGUGAUGGCCUACCAAGGCGACGACGGGUAGCCGGCCUGAGAGGGUGACCGGCCAGACUGGGACUGAGCUACGGCCCAGACUCCUACGGGAGGCAGCAGUGGGGAAUAUUGCACAAUGGGCGCAAGCCUGAUGCAACGACGCCGCGUGAGGGAUGACGGCCUUCGGGUUGUAAACCUCUUUCAGCACCGACGAAGCGCAAGUGACGGUAGGUGCAGAAGAAGGACCGGCCAACUACGUGCCAGCAGCCGCAGUAA
RNAcentral lists this ribosomal RNA (478 nucleotides) under uncultured bacterium. RNAcentral describes it as "partial 16S ribosomal RNA". It matches the Rfam family "Bacterial small subunit ribosomal RNA", at positions 28 to 523 of the family's 1533-position model. The record is from RNAcentral.